GAAGCGUGGAAGUGUGGUUAUGUUACUUUGUUGUUUUUCUCAUAUUGUAGGUUAAUUUUUAGCAUUUUGUUUUGUAUUUGAAACUCGAAAUGGCAUUUAAAAAUAAGAAAAAGCCAACAUUGAAAAAAUUAACACGGAAACAACAGCGCAAAGAAAUGCGAAAAGAUAAGAAAGCCAGACGUAAUGAAUUCUACUCAAAAAAGAAGAUUCCUGGUGCUCUUGUUCCAAACCCUGAAAGGACUUCCAUUCAGAAUGAAAAAUCUAAUCAAUUAAUUGAUGAAAAGCCUCCAGAACAAAAAAGAAAAUUCAGGAAUGAUGUUUCGGCAAACCAGAUAAAUGAAACAACAGUAGUACAGUCCAGGAAAAAAGAAAUGGAAAGGAUCCAAAAGGAAAUGGCGAAACAAAGAAAAAAACAACAGUUGUUGCAUAUAGAAGAAGAGGACCGGAUUAUUAAAAAAAUGGAAAAGCAGUUAGGAUUAAAAAAGAAGAAAGCAAAAUCGAUUCCAAAAUUCAUGAUGGAGGAUGGGUUCGAUUAUAUUUCAGAAGUUUUCGAUCCAGAAUUAAUGAAAAAUGCAGCGGCAGCAGAUCAUGAUAUUAAUGAAGCUAAUGAUGAUUUUGAUGAAGAUUUUGAGUUGAUGACAAAACAGUCAUCCCAACAACCUGUGAUAUCUGAUGAAGAAUACAGUGAUUUUGAUUCAGAACAAGAAAUAGAGAAGGACCAGAAGAAUGGCAAUUUCAGAGAGGAUGAUUUUUCAGAUGAGUCAGAUGAUGAGGAGUUCUUCUUAAACAGUGAUAGUGAGGAAAUUCUAGAGGAGGAGACUGUAGGUGAUGAAGUUGAAGAAAAGCCUUCGAAGUCUAAAAAAAGAAAGCAUAUCGAAAUGAAUAAAAAAAAGAAGAAACUAAAGUUGGAGUGCUCUGAUUCUGAAACUGAACAAAAAUUGGGAAAUGAUAAGAACUAUUCUGAAGAUGAUGAAGUUGAAAAAAAGCCUUUGAUAUCUAAAAAAAGAAAGCAUAUUGAAUUGAAUAAAAAAAAGAAAAAAUUGAAGUUGGAGUGCUCUGAUUCUGAAACUGAAAAAGCGGGAAGUGAUGAGAACUGUUCUGAUAUUGCUGAUGAAACUCUUAACAAUUCAGGAGAUGAUGGUUGGUCCGAUGGAGAUGAUGGGUCUGAUGAUGAUGAUGAUGGAGAAGGAGAAGUGAAGAAAGGUGUUGCUAGAACAUUUGAUGAUGGAACCUGGGAAGACAUUUAUGGUCGAAAAAGGGGUAAAGACGGAUCAGUUAUAACAAAUAACCAAUCGAAAUAUAUUCCUCCUGCGAUGAGAGAAAAACUCAACGGUGCUGAUCCAGAAGAUAAAAAGAGAAAAGAGAAACUAACUAGAUUGAAAAGACAAUUGAAAGGAUACAUAAACAGAUUAGCAGAAAGCAACAUGCACCAUAUAUCAACACAAAUAGAAGAACUGUAUAUGAAUAACAGUAGAAAUGACAUGAAUGAUACGUUGACUCUUUUGAUAAUGGAAUCUCUCGUGUCAUCUGUGAUGUCACCUGAACGGCUGUUGAUUGAACAUAUUGUUCUCAUCGCCAUACUGCAUGCUAAUGUUGGUACAGAAGUCGGGGCCCAUUUCUUGCAGUAUAUCGUGCAAAAAUUUGACGAGUUCUUCACUUCGGAACAAGAAGUGGAGAACAAAAAAUUAGAUAAUAUCGUUUGUAUAAUCGCACAACUAUACAAUUUCAAACUCUUCGAUUCCAAACUCAUCUACGAUAUUCUUAAGAAGUUUGUCGGUAAAUUCAAGGAAAAGGAUGUUGAGUGUAUUCUGCAUAUUCUGAAAAGUGUUGGAUUUACCCUGAGGAAAGAGGAUCCUUUGGCUUUGAAAAAUCUCAUUUUAGAUAUCCAGAACCAAGCUGCUAAUGUUUCAGAGGAAGAGAGGGAUAACUCUCGGGUAAAAUUUAUGCUGGACAUACUUUUGGCAAUCAAAAACAAUAAUGUCACAAAAAUACCAAACUAUGAUACAUCAUACUCAGAACAUAUGAAAAAGGUUAUGAAAGCUUUCAUCAGAAAAGGAAACUAUGUUACCCAGCUGAAUAUAUCUCUGGAAGAUCUUCUGAAUGCUAGUGAAAGGGGUAGAUGGUGGGUUGUCGGUUCAGCUUGGACUGGGAAUCAAAGUGAGGAAAAUGAAAAAUCAGAACCAGCCCCAGUUUCUGAAGGAUUUUCCGCUAAGUUAUUAGAAUUGGCGAGAAAGCAGAGGAUGAAUACUGAUACAAGAAGAAAUAUAUUCUGUAUAAUAAUGUCUGCAGAAGAUCUAUAUGGAUGCUUUCGAAAAAAUUGUGAAACUGGGUUUGAGAAAUCAGCAAGACCGAGAAAUCAUAAAUGUAUUACUACAUUGCUGUCUGCAGGAGAAGAAUUAUAAUCCGUAUUACGGGGUUUUAGCUCAGAAGUUUUGCGAACUUGACAGGAAAUAUCAAAUUACAAUAAAAUAUUCCAUUUGGGAUAAACUGAAAGCAUUGUCGGAUCAUUCCGGAUCGCAAAUAUCCAAUUUAGCAAAACUGCUCAUUCACUUGUUCAUAGAGAAAGGACUGCCUAUAUCUACUUUAAAG
This 2589-nucleotide unclassified non-coding RNA is filed under the name Leptinotarsa decemlineata (Colorado potato beetle). RNAcentral describes it as "nucleolar MIF4G domain-containing protein 1 homolog, transcript variant X2". Lineage: Eukaryota; Metazoa; Arthropoda; Insecta; Coleoptera; Chrysomelidae. The record is from RNAcentral.